UCCUAGUACUACUCUCGCCCAAGC
This 24-nucleotide non-coding RNA is filed under the name Arabidopsis thaliana (thale cress). The record is from RNAcentral. Lineage: Eukaryota; Viridiplantae; Streptophyta; Magnoliopsida; Brassicales; Brassicaceae.